AUUUUGCAGAAGAAUUGUGGACAGAGUCUUGGAGACUGAAACCAUUUGCCUAAAUCAUGGAGAGCUCUUGAAAUGCUUCUCUGACCCAAGUUUCCACUUUGACUGGAA
This 108-nucleotide long non-coding RNA is filed under the name Cyanistes caeruleus (blue tit). Its description in RNAcentral is "lncRNA (ENSCCEG00000017410.1)". The record is from RNAcentral. Lineage: Eukaryota; Metazoa; Chordata; Aves; Passeriformes; Paridae.